RNAcentral lists this transfer RNA (74 nucleotides) under Acidimicrobiia bacterium. RNAcentral's name for it is "tRNA-Leu". It matches the Rfam family "tRNA". From Rfam's summary of the family: Transfer RNA (tRNA) molecules are approximately 80 nucleotides in length. The record is from RNAcentral. RNAcentral also lists the same sequence under 1 other name. Lineage: Bacteria; Bacillati; Actinomycetota; Acidimicrobiia.
GCCCCGAUACUCCAAUUGGUAGAGAGAGCGGAUUCAAACCCCGCGCAGUGUGGGUUCGAGUCCCACUCGGGGCA